RNAcentral lists this ribosomal RNA (433 nucleotides) under uncultured bacterium. RNAcentral describes it as "partial 16S ribosomal RNA". It matches the Rfam family "Bacterial small subunit ribosomal RNA", at positions 29 to 507 of the family's 1533-position model. The record is from RNAcentral.
AACGAACGCUGGCGGCAUGCCUAACACAUGCAAGUCGAACGAGACCUUCGGGUCUAGUGGCGCACGGGUGCGUAACGCGUGGGAACCUGCCCUUAGGUUCGGAAUAACUCCCCGAAAGGGGUGCUAAUACCGGAUAAUGUCUUCGGACCAAAGAUUUAUCGCCUUUGGAUGGGCCCGCGUUGGAUUAGCUAGUUGGUAGGGUAAAAGCCUACCAAGGCGACGAUCCAUAGCUGGUCUGAGAGGAUGAUCAGCCACACUGGGACUGAGACACGGCCCAGACUCCUACGGGAGGCAGCAGUGGGGAAUAUUGCACAAUGGGCGAAAGCCUGAUCCAGCAAUGCCGCGUGAGUGAUGAAGGCCUUAGGAUUGUAAAGCUCUUUUACCCGGGAUGAUAAUGACAGUACCGGGAGAAUAAGCCCCGGCUAACUCCGUG